AUGGCAAUUGUCCAUACAUACGGGAAGCCUGCCAUCUUCUUGACCAUGACUUGCAAUCCUAAAUGGGAAGAGAUAACGAAUGAGUUGCUGCCUGGUCAGAUGGCGCAAGACCGACCUGAUCUUGUGGCUCGCGUGUUCUUCGACAAACUAGAGGCUAUGAAGGACAUGUUGUUCAAGAAGCACAUCCUGGGUGUUGUUGUCGCAUAUGUGUAUGUUGUCGAGUUUCAAAAAAGGGGCCUCCCACAUGCACAUUUUUUGUUGAUUAUGGACUCAACAUAUAAGCUUAUCGUCCCGGAGCAGUAUGACCGUCUCAUUUCCGCAGAGCUCCGAGACAAGCAUAAGUAUCCGGAAUUGUAUGCAAUGGUGGUAAAACAUAUGAUGCACGGACCAUGCGGUGCUCUCAACCCGAAGAAUGUUUGCAUGCAAGAAAACGGAUGCAAGUGCAGAUACUCGCGGCCGUUCAAUGAGAACACAGCACAGGGGAAGGACUCGUACCCAGUUUAUCGACGUAGAGAUGAUGGAAGGAGUGCUAAGGUCUGA
RNAcentral lists this ribosomal RNA (540 nucleotides) under Triticum aestivum (bread wheat). RNAcentral's name for it is "partial small subunit ribosomal RNA". The record is from RNAcentral. Lineage: Eukaryota; Viridiplantae; Streptophyta; Magnoliopsida; Poales; Poaceae.